This 286-nucleotide long non-coding RNA is filed under the name Capsicum annuum. Its description in RNAcentral is "long non-coding RNA (CANN_LNC002632)". Lineage: Eukaryota; Viridiplantae; Streptophyta; Magnoliopsida; Solanales; Solanaceae. The record is from RNAcentral.
UGGUUAGCUAUCACAACCCACCAUUAUUGCCCAAUUAAAACCAUUAAUAUGUAACUAAGACACUAUUUCCAUUUAUUAUGAACAAAGGAUAUUAGAAGUGGUAUCUUCAAAUUGAUUAUAGCCUGAAAGAAAUUGGCAAAGGUAUUCCUAUAUACCCAUAGAUUAAAUUAUUAUUAAGUUUACUUGGGGGACUCACAUGUACCCUAUAAGUAGUUCAUCAUUAUAUUUGCUUGGGAGAUUCCCUUGUACCCCACAAAGCUUUCAACUAAACAAAACCAUGACCACC